UAGGGAAUCUUCCACAAUGGACGCAAGUCUGAUGGAGCAACGCCGCGUGAGUGAAGAAGGUUUUCGGAUCGUAAAGCUCUGUUGUUGGUGAAGAAGGAUAGAGGUAGUAACUGGCCUUUAUUUGACGGUAAUCAACCAGAAAGUCACGGCUAACUACGUGCCAGCAGCCGCGGUAAUACGUAGGUGGCAAGCGUUGUCCGGAUUUAUUGGGCGUAAAGCGAGCGCAGGCGGAAGAAUAAGUCUGAUGUGAAAGCCCUCGGCUUAACCGAGGAACUGCAUCGGAAACUGUUUUUCUUGAGUGCAGAAGAGGAGAGUGGAAUUCCAUGUGUAGCGGUGGAAUGCGUAGAUAUAUGGAAGAACACCAGUGGCGAAGGAGACUCUCUGGUCUGCAACUGACGCUGAGGCUCGAAAGCAUGGGUAGCGAACAGG
Molecule: ribosomal RNA, 429 nt
Filed under: bacterium
Lineage: Bacteria
Description: partial 16S ribosomal RNA
Rfam family: Bacterial small subunit ribosomal RNA
Source: RNAcentral